This 107-nucleotide small nuclear RNA is filed under the name Jaculus jaculus (lesser Egyptian jerboa). Lineage: Eukaryota; Metazoa; Chordata; Mammalia; Rodentia; Dipodidae. The record is from RNAcentral.
AUGCUUGCUUUGGCAGCACAUAUACUAAAAUUAGAACGGUGUAGAGAAGAUUAGCAUGGCCCCUGCCCAAGGAUGACACACAAAUUCGUGAAACAUUCCAUAUUUUU